CUCAGUUCUCGGACGUUUGGCUAAGAUCAAGUGUAGUACCUGUUCUUAUCAGUUUAAUAACUGAUACGUCUUUGAUGUGAUUUUCCCCCCUUAUAGACUGUGAGCCCGUUGUUGUGUAGGGAUUGUCUCUAUAUGUUGCCAAUUUGUACUUCCCAAGCGCUUACUACAGUGCUCUGCACACAGUAAGCGCUCAAUAAAU
Small nuclear RNA from Tachyglossus aculeatus (Australian echidna), 199 nucleotides. RefSeq annotates it as U2 spliceosomal RNA. The transcript has a single exon. The record is from RefSeq and is a predicted model, not a curated record. NCBI's taxonomy places the organism in Eukaryota, Metazoa, Chordata, Mammalia, Monotremata, Tachyglossidae.